This 460-nucleotide ribosomal RNA is filed under the name uncultured bacterium. RNAcentral's name for it is "partial 16S ribosomal RNA". It matches the Rfam family "Bacterial small subunit ribosomal RNA", at positions 338 to 795 of the family's 1533-position model. The record is from RNAcentral.
CCUACGGGAGGCAGCAGUGAGGAAUAUUGGUCAAUGGACGAGAGUCUGAACCAGCCAAGUAGCGUGAAGGAUGACUGCCCUAUGGGUUGUAAACUUCUUUUAUAAAGGAAUAAAACGAGGCACGUGUGCCUUUUUGCAUGUACUUUAUGAAUAAGGAUCGGCUAACUCCGUGCCAGCAGCCGCGGUAAUACGGAGGAUCCGAGCGUUAUCCGGAUUUAUUGGGUUUAAAGUGAGCGUAGAUGGGUUGUUAAGUCAGUUGUGAAAGUUUGCGGCUCAAUCGUAAACGUGCAAUUGAUACUGGCAGUCGUGAGUACAGUUGAGGUAGGCGGAAUGCGUGGUGUAGCGGUGAAAUGCUUAGAUAUCACGAAGAACCCCGAUUGCGAAGGCAGCUUACUAAACUGUGACUGACAUUGAUGCUCGAAAGUGUGGGUAUCAAACAGGAUUAGAUACCCUAGUAGUC